Talpa occidentalis (Iberian mole) is the source of this 124-nucleotide non-coding RNA. RefSeq annotates it as small Cajal body-specific RNA 23. Lineage: Eukaryota; Metazoa; Chordata; Mammalia; Eulipotyphla; Talpidae. The record is from RefSeq and is a predicted model, not a curated record. The transcript has a single exon.
CUGCUCCUCGGGCUUGGUCCUUUCCGUGUGGUCCCGACCUGCCCUGCAGGAGCGAGAGAAAUGGAACUGGCUUGGGCGCGUCCUGUCUGAGUGGACACAGGCCACCGUGGUUUCCAGUACGACA